Molecule: ribosomal RNA, 240 nt
Filed under: uncultured bacterium
Lineage: Bacteria
Description: partial 16S ribosomal RNA
Rfam family: Bacterial small subunit ribosomal RNA
Source: RNAcentral
AGCGUUGUUCGGAAUUACUGGGCGUAAAGGGCUCGUAGGCGGCCAACUAAGUCAGACGUGAAAUCCCUCGGCUUAACCGGGGAACUGCGUCUGAUACUGGAUGGCUGGAGUUUGGGAGAGGGAUGCGGAAUUCCAGGUGUAGCGGUGAAAUGCGUAGAUAUCUGGAGGAACACCGGUGGCGAAGGCGGCAUCCUGGACCAAUACUGACGCUGAGGAGCGAAAGCCAGGGGAGCAAACGGG